RNAcentral lists this ribosomal RNA (433 nucleotides) under uncultured bacterium. Its description in RNAcentral is "partial 16S ribosomal RNA". It matches the Rfam family "Bacterial small subunit ribosomal RNA", at positions 29 to 507 of the family's 1533-position model. The record is from RNAcentral.
AACGAACGCUGGCGGCAUGCCUAACACAUGCAAGUCGAACGGGACCUCCGUGUCUAGUUGCGCACGGGUGCGUAACGCGUGGGAACCUGCACUUAGGUUCGGAAUAACUCCCCGAAGGGGGUGCUAAUACCGGAUAGUGUCUUCGGACCAACGAUUUAUCGCCUUUGGAUGGGCCCGCGUUGGUUUAGCUAGUUGGUAGUGUAAAAGCCUACCAAGGCGACGAUGCAUAGCUGGUCGGAGAGGAGGAUAAGCCACACUUGGACUGAGACACGGCCUAGAAUCGUACGCAACGGAGCAGUGGGGAAUAUUGGACAAGGGGGGAAAGUGUGACCCAGCAAUGCCGGGUGAGUGAGGAUGGGGGUAGUGAUGUAAAGCUGUUUUAGCCGGGGUGAGAAUGACAGUACCGGGAGAAUAAGCUCCGGCUAACUCCGUG